AAUGCGUAGAGAUCAGGAAGAACACCGGUGGCGAAGGCGCUCUGCUGGGCUAUAACUGACACUGAGGGACGAAAGCUAGGGGAGCGAAUGGGAUUAGAUACCCCAGUAGUCCUAGCGGUAAACGAUGGAAACUAGGUGUGGCCUGUAUCGACCCGGGCCGUGCCGAAGCAAACGCGUUAAGUUUCCCGCCUGGGGAGUACGCACGCAAGUGUGAAACUCAAAGGAAUUGACGGGGGCCCGCACAAGCGGUGGAGUAUGUGGUUUAAUUCGAUGCAACGCGAAGAACCUUACCAGGACUUGACAUCUCUGGAAUCUCCUUGAAAGGGGAGAGUGCC
RNAcentral lists this ribosomal RNA (335 nucleotides) under Planktothrix agardhii No976. Its description in RNAcentral is "bacterial SSU rRNA". It matches the Rfam family "Bacterial small subunit ribosomal RNA", at positions 685 to 1018 of the family's 1533-position model. Lineage: Bacteria; Bacillati; Cyanobacteriota; Cyanophyceae; Oscillatoriales; Microcoleaceae. The record is from RNAcentral.